RNAcentral lists this unclassified non-coding RNA (203 nucleotides) under uncultured Tomentella. RNAcentral's name for it is "sequence contains ITS1". Lineage: Eukaryota; Fungi; Basidiomycota; Agaricomycetes; Thelephorales; Thelephoraceae. The record is from RNAcentral.
CUGAACUGUUGACACGAGUUGUUGCUGGUCCCCGAAAGGGGGCAUGUGCACGCUCUGUUUACACAUCCACUCACACCUGUGCACCCUCUGUAGUUCUAUGGCCUUGUGGACUCUGUACUCUUGCCAUGGUCCUGCAUCUUUACACACACACACACCGUAAUACAGUCUUAUGGAAUGCAUGUCGCGUUUAACGCAAUACAAUA